CUUCCAGGAAAAGCCUCUAAGCUUCAGAUUGUAAGGAAUCGUACCCCAAACCGACACAGGUGGUCGGGUAGAGAAUACCAAGGCGCUUGAGAGAACUCGGGUGAAGGAACUAGGCAAAAUGGUACCGUAACUUCGGGAGAAGGUACGCUCUUGAUGGUGAAGUCCCUUGCGGAUGGAGCUGACGAGAGUCGCAGAUACCAGGUGGCUGCAACUGUUUAUUAAAAACACAGCACUGUGCAAAAUCGUAAGAUGACGUAUACGGUGUGACGCCUGCCCGGUGCCGGAAGGUUAAUUGAUGGGGUUAGACUUCGGUCGAAGCUCUUGAUCGAAGCCCCGGUAAACGGCGGCCGUAACUAUAACGGUCCUAAGGUAGCGAAAUUCCUUGUCGGGUAAGUUCCGACCUGCACGAAUGGCGUAAUGAUGGCCACGCUGUCUCCACCCGAGACUCAGUGAAAUUGAAAUCGCUGUGAAGAUGCAGUGUACCCGCGGCUAGACGGAAAGACCCCGUGAACCUUUACUACAGCUUGGCACUGAACAUUGACCCUACAUGUGUAGGAUAGGUGGGAGGCUUUGAAGCACGUACGCCAGUAUGUGUGGAGCCGUCCUUGAAAUACCACCCUUGUAGUGUUGAUGUUCUAACGUCGACCCCUUAUCGGGGUUGCGGACAGUGCCUGGUGGGUAGUUUGACUGGGGCGGUCUCCUCCCAAAGAGUAACGGAGGAGCACGAAGGUGGGCUAAUCACGGUUGGACAUCGUGAGGUUAGUGCAAUGGCAUAAGCCCGCUUGACUGCGAGAAUGACAAUUCGAGCAGGUGCGAAAGCAGGUCAUAGUGAUCCGGUGGUUCUGAAUGGAAGGGCCAUCGCUCAACGGAUAAAAGGUACUCCGGGGAUAACAGGCUGAUACCGCCCAAGAGUUCAUAUCGACGGCGGUGUUUGGCACCUCGAUGUCGGCUCAUCACAUCCUGGGGCUGAAGUCGGUCCCAAGGGUAUGGCUGUUCGCCAUUUAAAGUGGUACGCGAGCUGGGUUUAGAACGUCGUGAGACAGUUCGGUCCCUAUCUGCCGUGGGCGUUGGAAGAUUGAAGGGGGCUGCUCCUAGUACGAGAGGACCGGAGUGGACGAACCUCUGGUGUUCGGGUUGUGUCGCCAGACGCAUUGCCCGGUAGCUAAGUUCGGAAUCGAUAACCGCUGAAAGCAUCUAAGCGGGAAGCGAGCCCUGAGAUGAGUCUUCCCUGAUACUUUAAGUAUCCUAAAGGGUUGUCGGAGACUACGACGUUGAUAGGUCAGGUGUGUAAGUGCUGUGAGGCAUUGAGCUAACUGAUACUAAUUGCCCGUGAGGCUUAACCAU
RNAcentral lists this ribosomal RNA (1344 nucleotides) under Vibrio parahaemolyticus. RNAcentral's name for it is "partial 23S ribosomal RNA". It matches the Rfam family "Bacterial large subunit ribosomal RNA", at positions 1605 to 2925 of the family's 2925-position model. Lineage: Bacteria; Pseudomonadati; Pseudomonadota; Gammaproteobacteria; Vibrionales; Vibrionaceae. The record is from RNAcentral.